CCUACGGGAGGCAGCAGUAGGGAAUCUUCCACAAUGGGCGCAAGCCUGAUGGAGCAACACCGCGUGAGUGAAGAAGGGUUUCGGCUCGUAAAGCUCUGUUGUUGGAGAAGAACGUGCGUGAGAGUAACUGUUCACGCAGUGACGGUAUCCAACCAGAAAGUCACGGCUAACUACGUGCCAGCAGCCGCGGUAAUACGUAGGUGGCAAGCGUUAUCCGGAUUUAUUGGUCGUAAAGCGAGCGCAGGCGGUUGCUUAGGUCUGAUGUGAAAGCCUUCGGCUUAAUCGAAGAAGUGCAUCGGAAACCGGUCAACUUGAGUGCAGAAGAGGACAGUGGAACUCCAUGUGUAGCGGUGGAAUGCGUAGAUAUAUGGAAGAACACCAGUGGCGAAGGCGGCUGUCUGGUCUGCAACUGACGCUGAGGCUCGAAAGCAUGGGUAGCGAACAGGAUUAGAUACCCCUGUAGUC
This 465-nucleotide ribosomal RNA is filed under the name uncultured bacterium. Its description in RNAcentral is "partial 16S ribosomal RNA". It matches the Rfam family "Bacterial small subunit ribosomal RNA", at positions 338 to 795 of the family's 1533-position model. The record is from RNAcentral.